ACAUGCAAGUCGAGCGGACCGACGGGAGCUUGCUCCCUUAGGUCAGCGGCGGACGGGUGAGUAACACGUGGGUAACCUGCCUGUAAGACUGGGAUAACUCCGGGAAACCGGGGCUAAUACCGGAUGCUUGAUUGAACCGCAUGGUUCAAUCAUAAAAGGUGGCUUUCAGCUACCACUUGCAGAUGGACCCGCGGCGCAUUAGCUAGUUGGUGAGGUAACGGCUCACCAAGGCGACGAUGCGUAGCCGACCUGAGAGGGUGAUCGGCCACACUGGGACUGAGACACGGCCCAGACUCCUACGGGAGGCAGCAGUAGGGAAUCUUCCGCAAUGGACGAAAGUCUGACGGAGCAACGCCGCGUGAGUGAUGAAGGUUUUCGGAUCGUAAAACUCUGUUGUUAGGGAAGAACAAGUACCGUUCGAAUAGGGCGGUACCUUGACGGUACCUAACCAGAAAGCCACGGCUAACUACGUGCCAGCAGCCGCGGUAAUACGUAGGUGGCAAGCGUUGUCCGGAAUUAUUGGGCGUAAAGCGCGCGCAGGCGGUUUCUUAAGUCUGAUGUGAAAGCCCCCGGCUCAACCGGGGAGGGUCAUUGGAAACUGGGGAACUUGAGUGCAGAAGAGGAGAGUGGAAUUCCACGUGUAGCGGUGAAAUGCGUAGAGAUGUGGAGGAACACCAGUGGCGAAGGCGACUCUCUGGUCUGUAACUGACGCUGAGGCGCGAAAGCGUGGGGAGCGAACAGGAUUAGAUACCCUGGUAGUCCACGCCGUAAACGAUGAGUGCUAAGUGUUAGAGGGUUUCCGCCCUUUAGUGCUGCAGCAAACGCAUUAAGCACUCCGCCUGGGGAGUACGGUCGCAAGACUGAAACUCAAAGGAAUUGACGGGGGCCCGCACAAGCGGUGGAGCAUGUGGUUUAAUUCGAAGCAACGCGAGAAC
The sequence is a ribosomal RNA, 935 nucleotides long. It matches the Rfam family "Bacterial small subunit ribosomal RNA", at positions 53 to 968 of the family's 1533-position model.